This 679-nucleotide ribosomal RNA is filed under the name Saltonia incerta. RNAcentral's name for it is "partial 18S ribosomal RNA". It matches the Rfam family "Eukaryotic small subunit ribosomal RNA", at positions 234 to 920 of the family's 1831-position model. The record is from RNAcentral. Lineage: Eukaryota; Metazoa; Arthropoda; Arachnida; Araneae; Dictynidae.
CUCUGUCCGUUCCUUGUGGUGAAUCUGAAUGACUUUGGGCCGAUCGCACGGGCCCGUCCCGGCGACGUAUCUUUCAAGUGUCUGCCUUAUCAACUUUCGACGGUAGGUUACGCGCCUACCAUGGUCGUAACGGGUGACGGGGAAUCAGGGUUCGAUUCCGGAGAGGGAGCCUGAGAAACGGCUACCACAUCCAAGGAAGGCAGCAGGCGCGCAAAUUACCCACUCCCGGCACGGGGAGGUAGUGACGAAAAAUAACGAUACGGGACUCUUACGAGACCCCGUAAUCGGAAUGAGUACACUCUAAACCCUUUAACGAGGAUCCAUUCGAGGGCAAGUCUAGUGCCAGCAGCCGCGGUAACCCCAGCUCGAAUAGCGUAUAUUAAAGUUGUUGCGGUUAAAAAGCUCGUAGUYGRAUCUCRGUUCCRGACGGRYGGUCCRCYYMCMSGCGGUCRCUGYCYGUYCUGRACRUCCWGYCGGUYUUYCUYGAUGAUCUUCAYCGGUUGUCYUGGGYGACCGGCRAKUUUACUUUGAAAAAAUUAGAGUGCUCAAAGCRGGCGCGACGCCUGRAUAAUGGUGCAUGGAAUAAUGGAAUAGGACCUCGGUUCUGUUUUGUUGGUUUUCGGARYWCGAGGUAAUGAUCAAGAGGGACAGGCGGGGGCAUUCGUAUUGCGACGCUAGA